UUCCUACGGGCGGCAGCAGUGGGGAAUAUUGGGCAAUGGGCGAAAGCCUGACCCAGCGACGCCGCGUGGGGGAUGAAGGUCUUCGGAUUGUAAACCCCUGUCGGGAGGGACGAACGUGUCACGGCAAACAGUCGUGACGCUUGACGGUACCUCCAAAGGAAGCCCCGGCUAACUCCGUGCCAGCAGCCGCGGUAAUACGGAGGGGGCAAGCGUUAUUCGGAAUUACUGGGCGUAAAGCGCGCGCAGGUGGCUUGGUAAGUGGCAGGUGAAAUCCCUUGGCUCAACCGAGGAACUGCCUGCCAAACUGCUGAGCUUGAGGCUGGGAGGGGAGAGCGGAAUUCCUGGUGUAGCGGUGAAAUGCGUAGAUACCAGGAGGAACACCGGUGGCGAAGGCGGCUCUCUGGACCAGAUCUGACACUCAUGCGCGAAAGCGUGGGGAGCAAACAGGAUUAGAUACCCCAGUAGUCCA
Molecule: ribosomal RNA, 469 nt
Filed under: uncultured bacterium
Lineage: Bacteria
Description: bacterial SSU rRNA
Rfam family: Bacterial small subunit ribosomal RNA
Source: RNAcentral